GGUUAAGCGACUAAGCGUACACGGUGGAUGCCCUGGCAGUCAGAGGCGAUGAAGGACGUGCUAAUCUGCGAAAAGCGUCGGUAAGGUGAUAUGAACCGUUAUAGCCGGCGAUGUCCGAAUGGGGAAACCCAGUGUGAUUCGUCACACUAUCGUUAACUGAAUACAUAGGUUAACGAGGCGAACCGGGGGAACUGAAACAUCUAAGUACCCCGAGGAAAAGAAAUCAACCGAGAUUCCCCCAGUAGCGGCGAGCGAACGGGGAGCAGCCCAGAGUCUGAAUCAGCUUGUGUGUUAGUGGAACGGUCUGGAAAGUCCGACGGUACAGGGUGAUAGUCCCGUACACCAAAAUGCACAGGUUGUGAACUCGAAGAGUAGGGCGGGACACGUGGUAUCCUGUCUGAAUAUGGGGGGACCAUCCUCCAAGGCUAAAUACUCCUGACUGACCGAUAGUGAACCAGUACCGUGAGGGAAAGGCGAAAAGAACCCCGGCGAGGGGAGUGAAAAAGAACCUGAAACCGUGUACGUACAAGCAGUGGGAGCACCUUCGGGUGUGACUGCGUACCUUUUGUAUAAUGGGUCAGCGACUUAUAUUCUGUAGCAAGGUUAACCGUAUAGGGGAGCCGCAGGGAAACCGAGUCUUAACUGGGCGUUAAGUUGCAGGGUAUAGACCCGAAACCCGGUGAUCUAGCCAUGGGCAGGUUGAAGGUUGGGUAACACUAACUGGAGGACCGAACCGACUAAUGUUGAAAAAUUAGCGGAUGACUUGUGGCUGGGGGUGAAAGGCCAAUCAAACCGGGAGAUAGCUGGUUCUCCCCGAAAGCUAUUUAGGUAGCGCCUCGUGAACUCAUCUUCGGGGGUAGAGCACUGUUUCGGCUAGGGGGUCAUCCCGACUUACCAACCCGAUGCAAACUACGAAUACCGAAGAAUGUUAUCACGGGAGACACACGGCGGGUGCUAACGUCCGUCGUGAAGAGGGAAACAACCCAGACCGCCAGCUAAGGUCCCAAAGUCAUGGUUAAGUGGGAAACGAUGUGGGAAGGCACAGACAGCCAGGAUGUUGGCUUAGAAGCAGCCAUCAUUUAAAGAAAGCGUAAUAGCUCACUGGUCGAGUCGGCCUGCGCGGAAGAUGUAACGGGGCUAAACCAUGCACCGAAGCUGCGGCAGCGACACUAUGUGUUGUUGGGUAGGGGAGCGUUCUGUAAGCCUGCGAAGGUGACCUGUGAGGGUUGCUGGAGGUAUCAGAAGUGCGAAUGCUGACAUAAGUAACGAUAAAGCGGGUGAAAAGCCCGCUCGCCGGAAGACCAAGGGUUCCUGUCCAACGUUAAUCGGGGCAGGGUGAGUCGACCCCUAAGGCGAGGCCGAAAGGCGUAGUCGAUGGGAAACAGGUUAAUAUUCCUGUACUUGGUGUUACUGCGAAGGGGGGACGGAGAAGGCUAUGUUAGCCGGGCGACGGUUGUCCCGGUUUAAGCAUGUAGGCUGAUUGUCCAGGCAAAUCCGGAUAAUCAAGGCUGAGGUGUGAUGACGAGGCACUACGGUGCUGAAGUAACAAAUGCCCUGCUUCCAGGAAAAGCCUCUAAGCAUCAGGUAACAUUAAAUCGUACCCCAAACCGACACAGGUGGUCAGGUAGAGAAUACCAAGGCGCUUGAGAGAACUCGGGUGAAGGAACUAGGCAAAAUGGUGCCGUAACUUCGGGAGAAGGCACGCUGGUGUGUAGGUGAAGUCCCUGCGGAUGGAGCUGAGACCAGUCGAAGAUACCAGCUGGCUGCAACUGUUUAUUAAAAACACAGCACUGUGCAAACACGAAAGUGGACGUAUACGGUGUGACGCCUGCCCGGUGCCGGAAGGUUAAUUGAUGGGGUUAUCCGUAAGGAGAAGCUCUUGAUCGAAGCCCCGGUAAACGGCGGCCGUAACUAUAACGGUCCUAAGGUAGCGAAAUUCCUUGUCGGGUAAGUUCCGACCUGCACGAAUGGCGUAAUGAUGGCCAGGCUGUCUCCACCCGAGACUCAGUGAAAUUGAACUCGCUGUGAAGAUGCAGUGUACCCGCGGCAAGACGGAAAGACCCCGUGAACCUUUACUAUAGCUUGACACUGAACAUUGAGCCUUGAUGUGUAGGAUAGGUGGGAGGCUUUGAAGCGUGGACGCCAGUCUGCGUGGAGCCAACCUUGAAAUACCACCCUUUAAUGUUUGAUGUUCUAACGUUGGCCCCUGACCGGGGUUGCGGACAGUGUCUGGUGGGUAGUUUGACUGGGGCGGUCUCCUCCCAAAGCGUAACGGAGGAGCACGAAGGUUAGCUAAUCCUGGUCGGACAUCAGGAGGUUAGUGCAAUGGCAUAAGCUAGCUUGACUGCGAGCGUGACGGCGCGAGCAGGUGCGAAAGCAGGUCAUAGUGAUCCGGUGGUUCUGAAUGGAAGGGCCAUCGCUCAACGGAUAAAAGGUACUCCGGGGAUAACAGGCUGAUACCGCCCAAGAGUUCAUAUCGACGGCGGUGUUUGGCACCUCGAUGUCGGCUCAUCACAUCCUGGGGCUGAAGUAGGUCCCAAGGGUAUGGCUGUUCGCCAUUUAAAGUGGUACGCGAGCUGGGUUUAGAACGUCGUGAGACAGUUCGGUCCCUAUCUGCCGUGGGCGCUGGAGAAUUGAGGGGGGCUGCUCCUAGUACGAGAGGACCGGAGUGGACGCAUCACUGGUGUUCGGGUUGUCAUGCCAAUGGCACUGCCCGGUAGCUAAAUGCGGAAGAGAUAAGUGCUGAAAGCAUCUAAGCACGAAACUUGCCCCGAGAUGAGUUCUCCCUGAGACUAUAAGUCUCCUGAAGGAACGUUAAAGACGAUGACGUUGAUAGGCCGGGUGUGUAAGCGCAGCGAUGCGUUGAGCUAACCGGUACUAAUGAACCGUGAGGCUUAACCUU
RNAcentral lists this ribosomal RNA (2902 nucleotides) under Klebsiella pneumoniae. RNAcentral describes it as "23S ribosomal RNA". It matches the Rfam family "Bacterial large subunit ribosomal RNA". The record is from RNAcentral. Lineage: Bacteria; Pseudomonadati; Pseudomonadota; Gammaproteobacteria; Enterobacterales; Enterobacteriaceae.